UGGGCUGUUAGCAGGGGAGGCAGAAGAACCAAAGAUAUUAUUUUCAUUUCUCAUUGGGAAGGACAGUUUCAAACUGGGGGAGGAGAACAGGAACCAAAUCAAUUCAGAUAACAAAAGCAAACCUUUCUUGAAACAACAAAACAAAACACAGAGGUUCAGGUGAGCUGAAGCUGUGUCAACUGAAGAAGAUUUAUCCACGAGUCACUGCCUAACACCUCCCUGCUGGAAGUCAGGUUCUAUACAGGUGCUCUCUAACCUGCUCAGUGAAAAUGCAUGAUGUGAGCUGAAGCAGUGACUUGCACAUCUCCAUCACUCAUUGACUCGGGAGCAUCUGCAGGAGCAGCUGAGCCAGCAGCUCGCUGGGGCCAUACCCUUCGUACCCUCCUGCAAGGUGAUGCAAGGAAAAGAGAGGGAAGACCAAAGGCGCUAGCUGAAGAUGGAUGAGGAAGUCCAGCCAGUUCAGGCAGGUUCAGUUGUCACCACCAGCAAACUAUGAGACUAACGUAAAGCUUUAGGAAUAGGUACCUCCCUGAGUAUCCCUGCCCCUUUAGCAGACUGCAUGGCAUUCUGCAGGAAAGUACAAGGCAGGUGGAAGCUGGCUGUGGAUUAUCCUGGCACGGUCUAGGUCACUAAGACUUAACAUGAGCAUGGGAACACCGACUAGAUUUUAAGCCUGAAGACCAUGAAAUCAUCUAUGUUACCUAAAACAGCCAUACAAUUUUAUGCCUUUUUUUGCCAUAUGUGCUUAAUAACCUGCAUUGCUGAAUGAACUGCACUGUCAUGGCCUAGUGUUUCAAGCAUUUGAAGACACGGAAUGAUCUAGAAUUCAGUGCUGAUUUGGCCAUUAUGUUAAAAUAUGUUGCUACUUUGGCAAUGAAAUACCUGGGUUUAACUGCCAUUCAUUGUUCUGUGACGUGCAGCCACAUUCUGCACCAAAGGCUGUUUCAUGAGCAUCGUAACACACUGUGAUCAAAUUUCUCCUUGAUUUAAUUAAUAAUUAAUAAUUCAGCUAAAACAAACUAAGCUUGUCAGUAGUCUUCCAGUGACAAACACAGAACCACCUGUUUGACACUCUCCUGAAUCCAUUUUUUCAAUAUCUUCUGAUAUUAAUAAACAUUAAAAAAGAAAAAUAUAGGACUCCUUCCAUCCUCUAGGUUUGCAUCUAAAAUCUCAAACUAUAGAAGCUAUAAGAGGCAGAGUGAAUGGCCACAAAAGGACAGUUUAUCAGGAUUUCUAUCUGUUUCAGGUUCUAAAAUAAGCUUUUAAACUGGAGACAUUUUUUCCACUCGUCUACCUUCUAAAGCUACAACUGGGAGACUGGGUCAUAUAUAAGCUAUAGAGAUAAGCAUUUAAUGGAACUAUAAUUAUAUUUUUAAUAUAAAAUUAUAAUCAUUAAGCAUAUGGGAUGAUUCGCUCUGCAAUUCGAACACAGAAGAGCUGUUCAGAAUGACAGCUGGGAUGCUAGGCUCAUUGAAAUCAAUGGAAAAAUCCUGUUGACAUCAGUGGACUGAAUACUUAGCAUUUGUAAUUUCCCAGAGAAGGCUUAACAGCAAAAUAAAUCAUUUUUUCAAGAUGUUUUGGUGUUACUGUGCUACAGAAGAAUGUAAGAAUGUUCAAAGAUCUGUCAAAAAAGAUAGACAUCGAAUACCGAUGAAGGAAAGGCACCAUACACAUAUAAAACCCUAUCAUUUUACCUGCAGACCUUUUGUAGACAAUUUGAAAUUAUAUACAUUACUAUUAUAGAAUACUGGUUUUGCUGCAGAGGUGCUAUGCAAGCUGCAGCACUGAGAAUUUUGUGUAAUUUAUCCUGUUACAACCUCUGCUUUUAUUUAUGACCAAAUGAAUUCAGCAUAGCAUUUCUCUUCUUAGCUCUUUAAAAUGGAGACUGUAUUUCCUACCAGAUUAUCCCAUGUAAAGUGAUUUGAUAAUACAUACUAAUUUCCAAAAUGAAUUAGCUGAGCCAUAAAGGCUAGUUAUAAUUGUUGCCUUUGAUUCUGAACCAAGGUCCAGAAAUACAUUAGAAUUUUUUCCAGUCAAUUUUUAUCCCAUAAGCCAAACGACCCAAAUAUUUUCUUUUCCUUUAAGAAAAGUGUAGUCCUGUUUUAAUCUCAGAACACCUGUAUGACUUUUAAGCCACAACGCUGAAUCAUUUGGUAAGAGAUCAAACAGAACAGCAUUGGUUUUGAUUGCUAUUCAUUUAUGUGCUGCCAAAACACAUUACACUGCUUUUCAAAUGUGUCGUGAUGAUUACUGCUUCCAAAGCCGAUUGCGUUUCUACAGGUGAUGAGCUCUGUUUUGUUGCCUCUGUCAAAAAUGAACACUUGCAUUGUGAAUAAUCUCUCUCACAGGUUCUGAAACACAUGAAGGGACUUAGCAAGUUUGUAAAAAUUAUCACUAAAAUUAUUUAAGUGGUAUUUUUUGUUGAUAUAAGAUCUAGUAAGCCUAACAUAAAUAGCACCUAGGCAGGUGUUGAUGAUGUAAUUUUCUAGUUUUCUAAAAGACUGUGGGUCUGAGACAAUUAUGACUGACAUCAACAGAUAAUUUAUCAGUGCAUUUCCAGUCAAGCCCAGAAAACCCUUCCCAAACGAGCAAGAUGCUUAUCUGUGUGAAUGGAUCCAUUCUAUUUAGAUGAUGAAGUUGUAUAUGGGAAUUGGUCUUUUGCUGACUGGGCCUUCAGCUGUCACAUUUUCUGACUAGUCAUGUUUUCAAAACUCCAGUACAAAAUCCUUUUACCUAUUAAGAUUUUUUUCAAGACAUUCAUAGCCGUGCACCUACAUAACUUGCAAUUACAGUUUGCCUAUGAUUUUUUGAACUUGUUCGAGUGGAAUCCACCCAUCACCCUCCUAAAUUACAGGACACCUGCCACUUGAAUAAAUACUUAAUGUCAAGAAGCGUCAAUUGAAUAGAAUUAAAAUACAGCACUUCAACACUAAUUCCUACAUUGUAGCUGUAAGUCAUUCUCAUGAGUAAAGUGACUCUUAUUAUAAAGCAGGUGUAGCUUUCAUGGCUAUAUUAUGUCUUGUGGGUCAACGCAAAGAAUAUGUCAGUGAACAAACUGCUAUGACAUACAGAGCCCUAGGAAGGAUUUGUGAUGAAGCACAAAAAUAGGUUAGUUACAAAACUUAAUAAACAAUUCAGUAUUAAGCUUUUCCAUCUAAAAGCACUUUAUGCAAAACAGGCAACAUUGUGAAAAAAUGAGAUCCGUUUUUUCAAAACAGACCUUCUCUUGUUUACUUUGAAAUACAUUUAAAAAAAAAUAACUUACAUAAAUGCCUUGCUUCCAUGGCCUUAUGAAAGCUUUUUCUGAAAUGCACAUUUUAUAGGAUGAAACAGCAUAGAAAAAGUGCAUAGUUUCUCAGUAGUCCAAAGUUGUCCAAGGUUCUUAGCAAGACUUUCAAAGUGUGAAGAAGAUAUAAAAUGGUGCUGCAAGUGUAGUGAAAUGGUACCAUAAUAAAGCUCCCUUAGAUGUUUUACAAAGUGGAAAAAUUUAUGAUUCUGGACCUACAGAUUUUCUAAUAUUUGAGACAACUAAUUAUGAAUAGCAAGAGGGGAAGAGAAAAUUAAGAUUACAAAGAGAAAUACCAUGUAGUCUCUCUGCCACAAUAUGUAUCCAGCUGCCUGAACCAAAUUUUUUUAAUAUGUGAAAAUCUAUAACAAUUAUAUUUUUCAACAGGGUUUUUAGUAGGAGGCAAAAUUUGUACAUUCAUCACACAAAGCUGGUAAAGCAAAACAACUUAGAAAAGACUGAUCAAAUUGAUGUAAUCUCAUUUUUUUCCUAUUACAGCUAGAUAGCUCUUGAAUUUUAACAGAAUCUCACUGCCCUUUUUAUAUGAUUCAAAAGUCGAGAACAUAUGCAGAGACAAACAAAAAAACCCCACCAAAAUAUGUGCUAGAGAAAUUCCUGCAAAUGCAAGCUUUGCACAGUUGUUCUGGAAUAGAAAUGAGCCAGCCAUUUGAAUCGGUUUUUUAAACAAAAUGCUUGUUUCUUCUGCAUAGAUUUUCUCAAUGGGAGUGACCUUUAGUUGGCACCACGGAACACUCAGUUGUUGAAAAGUUGGAAAAAAUAAAAAUAAAACAAGUUUUUGCAUUUGCCUUUUGAAUGUAUCUCUGUUUUCCUGCAACCUGCCAGUAACGCUUCAAUUCCAGCUGAUGCCUCAGGAUGCCUAAUGCUGAAGAUUUAUCCCACUUAUCUAAUGAAUGCUACUUUUAAGGAUGUUGUAAGUCAAAAACAGGAUCACAGUCACAGUAUGAGGGUUCACAACUAAUUUCCCCAAAACAUAGCAUGCAUCUAGAUGUAUUAAUCAGAAAUGUUAAAUGUCAGAGCCUGCCCUAAGGAGUUUUCUUCUGGGACCUGCCCAAAUGUGGACUCAGACUCUUCUCCUGAUCUGUUUUGGCCAGCUGUUUUCACGGAGUUUCAGACUAAGUAAGAUAAAACUCAAAGGAAUAGAUGACCUCACGAGACUUUCACUCCUUAGAGUAGAAGCCUACUAAGAGGACUUUAUGAUAUUUCCCAGCUGUCAAAGUCAUAAGGAAAGCCUCGCAUUAACUGAUUUAAUAUAAUAGAAACAAGUACCUCCAGACUCCAAUAAUUUGGCCAACACCAAGUUUGCAUUUAAAGAUCUUCUAUAAAAACAAAAUCUGAAUUUAUUCUCCACAAAUCUAUGUGUGCAAUGAUUCUACUAAAUAUACCCUUUACAGAAAACAUUUCACAUUUCUUUCCAGAAUGCAUCUAUUUUAAUUAGCUGAAUGUGAUAAUGGAACUGUGUCAGUUUUCAGGUUUCCAGCAUUUAAACCAAAUAUUUUAGUUCACAAGGAUGGGAGCUGCUCUGUGGGAUAUUUCUGUGGCAGGUGGCAGCCUGCUUUCUUUCAACACACACCAUGCAUGCAUUCAUUAAAAAAUAAAAAAAAAAAAAAAAAAGAGAAAGCACUGAAUAAAUUCCAAUUUGGCAUGAUUAUGUGAUGUGUGGCCUUUUGUGCAUGGAAACUCUCACCUAUUGGCACUUGCAAUUUUAGUAUCAUGUAAUUAAAUUGAUUUUUUUGUCAAGUCAUUUUUAAACUAUGUCUUUGAGGUAAAAGGCCAGUGCAUUAAUCCACUGUGGAAUUUAUUAUUUAAAUACUAAUCAAGAGGUCAAUUAAUGUUUUCAUUGCUUCUCUAAAUGAGUAAUGGAGUACUGCUUAGAGCUCUUGGGAGAGUCUACUGUUAAAUAGGAAUCUGAUUUCAUUCCUUCUUUUCAAAUGGCCCUAAAUGUACUUAUUAUGCAACUCUUACCUUCUGUGUAGCAAAUGGAAUGUUUCACUUGAACUCUAAUCCCUAUACUGCACAUCCAGAGCCCCGAGUUUCUAGAAUAUGCUAGGAUUUUAGUCCCAGUUUUCAAAUCCACAUCUAUUUUGAAGUAAAAGUGUGUCAUGAAUAUGCGGCUGAUUUAAUUGCAAGAAUGAAAGUCUCUCCAUGUGACAGACAUGAACUAGGAAGUUUCUAUUUGAUUCAUAUUAUCAACAAUAUUGAACAGAAGGAGACGUAAGUCAGCAAGGGAUGAUUAGCCACUUUGCUAAAAUUGAUCCAUGCGUAUGGAAGAAGAGAUUUUGAUAUAUACAUUCCAGAGUUUAAUAAACACCUACAUAAGCUCUAUUUUCCCCACUCACUAUAGAUAACAUUACCUAAUGCAUUUUGUACGAAAGCCAGACUUCCAGUUCCUUUAUCCUAUGGGAGUCAGACUUGAACAGGUACUUCAUCACAUAAUGAUAUUCCAGAAUGCUAUAAACUGAUCACGGUGCAACAUACUUCUCCUCAUAGUUACCUGCUUCAUUAUAAAUUCUAAAAUUUUCCUGGCCCAAAAGUGUGCUGGCUGUCUCAGCUAGGAGCAGAGAUGCUAGAUGUCAGCACAGGAAAGAACUGGUUCAAGAUCAUCAUCCCAGCACAGUCUUGCUCACUGUCCCCCUGGCAUCUGUUACUUUUCCCUCUGUAUCCUUUGGUCUCUUGCGCAAAGUGGAAAAAUCAAAUAGACAGGGAGAGAGACACUGUCAUACCAGUUUAUAUUAAGAAUAUGUAGAACUGUUUCAAGAAGUGAUGUUUAAUUUCUUCCCACUGUUGCAUUUGGGAACAAGGUUAAUUGACCAGCUAAAAUCUGACUUUGCUACUGCAUCUGAUGUUUAUACGAGCAAGGAAGAGCUAUAGACAUGACCUAGAACCUCCUGCAUUGUUCAAAUGCAUUCUUCAAGUCAGGUCUCCAGUAUUACUUGGGCAGUUAGAGUGGAUUUUUGCAUCUAAAUGAAUAGUGAUAAGUAAGGGCAAGUAAAAUACAUCUCAUUAUGACAUCUUAGUGAUCAGAACUAGUUUUUAAAGUGCCAUGAAAUACAGUUUAGAAGACAUCACUACUCUACUGGUAAAUAACACAAAAAGACGAAUAUGUACCGACAAGAGAGGGUUUGGGAAGAAUUUUAGACCCUUAAAAUAUAAGCUUUACCCCAGCAGAAAGGAGAGUAGGACCCAAGCAUGACCAUUAAAACAGAAAUGGAAAAGAAAAUGUGAACACUGACCAACAGGGAACAUGACUGAGCUCUGAACUGAAAGAAGACAGAAAAUUUCCUUCAAAUACUUUGUGUAAAAAAACCUCUUUUACUAAAGUUAAGUUGCAGCUGCCUCUUCUUUGACCUUGCCCAUCUAGUCCUCAUCUGUGAUGCAUGAAGUGAGAAGCAAGGUGCUGAAAUGCAAACAGGACUGCAAAUGAGGAUCAUGUAUGUGCAUGUGUUGCUGGGACUUUCAGAGAGAGCCUAAAAGCAAAUCUACCACAGAAAUCCAACAUUACUGCUACUCAUCAAGACAGGCGGGCACUCAAGGCAAUCAAGUAGGUUGUCCAUUGCUUAGCAGAGGUAGUUAAUUGAUAAUUCUCCACAUCCAUUUGAAGAAGAAUGCUCAAUAGUAGGAUUUUCUUCAUGUAAAGGAUGCAGCUUCUUUACUAUGCCACUGACUUUUUUUGUUUUUCUACUUUUUUUUGCAUCGGACUUUUGUCUGCAACUGAAGCUUCAAAGCCUAGGGUCCUACUGUCAGGGCUUAUUUCCUUUACUGGCUCUUGCCCCCUUUCAGACUAAGGCAAUAUAAAUGAAACUGACAAUUUUUCAUUACUAGUAUGUUUUUCAUGGGGUUUGAACUUCAUAUUCAAAGGUUUCUUCUCACAGGAAAAGAAAAUCAUGUUUAGUUUCCAUUACAUUAACACCCAAAAGCUUACUUUGAGCCAACUGCAAUACGAUGCUCUUAAAAAGACAAUUUCUGCUCCAGAGGCCCUAUGAUUUUAUAUUAUUUCUAACAGUUCUAUUUCUGACUGUGCUGAGCGCUUAGCCAAGAUGCAAUCUGACAAAUGAGGCUCAGAAUAUGACUACUGCUAAUUAGCAGGUGUUAACAACUGAAAAGAUACAUGUGGUACUAAUACUUCAUUGCCAACAGAGAGAAGGGCUUCCUGCAUGAUGAGGGGUUAUUCACAGGGUUGCAGUGGUUCCUGAAGCAAGUCUAUUGUUGUUGGCACCCAUACUGCAGGGACAAAGAUCGUAUCGGCUGUGUGUAGGCACUAAGCCAUCCCGACAGAUGGCUUCUGUUGUGGGUAGAGCGUAUACGUUGUAUGCAAUAUGCUAGGGCAGCGAUGCUCACUUAGGCCAACUGGAGUGUCUGCCUUACCUUGAUUUUCCGCACUGCCAUUACUGACUCAGUUCUGCAGUCAGUGUGUUUUAAAAACCUGCUCACACAGAGAUUUUCAGUAUUCCUGGACUUUGCAGCGAGCUUGAGAGGUAAGAAGGGUAACAGUAAUGACAAUCCCAUCACCACCUUUCAUCCUUCAGCUAGAAGAAUACGGUGGUAUGAGCCAGAAAUUUUUUGGUAGGCCUGCCAAGGUCUGUAAAUGCAUCAACAAGGGGAAGAAACUCAGUGAUAGUCCCUGUGCUUGAAUGAAAAGCACGUGUGGGGACACCUGAAUCUCUAGUGCAUUCAAGUGAGAGAGCUUUCUGCGUAACUGCUGCUGUCCUGUGGCAAAGCAGUUUUAUAUACUGGAGGUAUUUUAGGAAAAUGUACUUAUUUCCCAGUAAGAAACUACUUUACUGAAAGCAUUUCUCAAAUGACAGGAAACCAACAGUUUCAUCAUGAGGUCAAUUCUUGAUAUUUUGUCUAUUUAUCUGCAUCACAGGAGAGAGUAACAUAAUGCCUCUGGUUAUAUAUAUGUCCCUAAAAUUGAGAAUGGGAAAGUUAUUUUCUAUACAACAAUAACAAAUGUAGCUUUCUUUCAAAUUGUGCAGUGUCAUCAGCGAUGAAUAAUAUAUGACUAGUACAGCACGUGGCAUGAGAACAACUAGUUUCCUGACCAGCCAGAUCAGCGAAGCCUGGUUUCCUAAGGAGCUGUUCCUGGCCUUCUCUCCCAGCGCUCACGUUGCCACGUCUUGGUGCUCUCACUUCUUGUGAUCUCUGUACUGUCCGCAGUGUAAUGCACCAUCAUCAGUUUUCCCACAAUCUUCCUUGCACACUGUAGUAUUUCAGCUCUCCCCUGUGUUUUCUAUUUACCAUUUUGAAGAUGUUGGCUGCCCAGGAGUCAGUCCGUGCUUGUAGGCAGCCUGCAGCUAGUAUCUGUUAAUUUGUCAGCCAGUCCAAACGGAAUGGGACCUGCCUUUUGGACAAAAUAUAGUCUUCCUCCUCUAUCAAACUUAGUUGCCAUUCAAACGCUAAAAGUAGGGCUAAGAUCAGAGGUAUUUUGUUCACACAGAAGUUCCGACAAAUAAAACCUGCUUUUGCCCUUAUAUCUAAAAUACUCAGACUAUUUUUAUGUAUUAUCCUACCUUUGAAGCAAGUACUUUAUUCACUUAUUUUUUCUUUGCUACUUAACAUGUCAUGUUAACAUUUUAUUGACUCCAAAGUGUCUGAUUAUUAUGCUUUAUGUUCUUUACAGAAGCAACCCCUGACCCUCUUCCUUCGCUUUUCAACAGAGAUUUACUAGUAAAGGCUGAAGUGCAUAACAAUGUUAGGGAGGCCUCGUGAUUCCAGUAUAUCAUGCUUCUGAGCGUUUGUUCUGUUUUCAUUACUUAACUGUACUUCCCAAAAUGACUAUCUGUCAUUUAUCAAAGUAAUGUACCUUUAAUAAAUAUUAUCCUUUCAUUUUGAUUAUAUUUGCUCCAAUAUGCAAUAUUUGCAACCAUCAUUUCAAAAGGGGCUUUCCUUCAGGAUUAUGAAUAUGAGAGGCUUUUUGCUAUUCAGUUGAAAUUAUAUAGAUCAUAAAUUAAAGAAAAAAUGGAAACAACUGUGAUCGAAUUAAAUUGUGAAACACAACCUUCUUAUGAACCCUUGUAAUUCAUUGCUUGCAGAGCUCAGUCUUAUUUAACUAGAACCCAGGAGACAGUAUUCUAGAGACAGAAUGAAAAGCUCCUUACCGUAUGCCUUGCUGUGGAACAUGAUAUUGUAUAAAACUUAUAACAUCAUUAGAUUGCUGGUAGAUUGUUGGAAUCGAUAAGGACAGAACGUGUUUUCUGAUGUUUGUUUCACCUGAGAAACUUAUUCUUGGUUUGUAUUGAUUCAUUCUGAUGUAUGGCAGCAAUAUCAUGAAAUGUUCUAGUCUCUGAGUUCCAAACAAAGGUUAUUUGAGAAUCUGUAUAUAUUUGUCUUACCAUUCGAUGUGAUUAUCUAUGAAAAACAUGUCUCAUAUUUUUAAUAUAAAUUGCCAGGCAUUCUCCAUCCACUGUAACAGUUUAAAUGCUGAACCAAAAUGUAAAUCCAUUCCUUCUGACAUAUGAAGAAAUAGUAUUUGCUUCAUCAUUGAUUUCUGCUCAUGUUUACAGUUCAUCAAUGGAAAUGUAUUUAUGUAACACAGUCAUUGUGAAAUUCAACACUUUUUAAUCCACGACUUCAUUUUUUUUAGUGUUUUGGACAAUGUAUGUGUGUACCUGUCUUGUAAUAAAGAGGAUGUGUGAAAAUUUA
Long non-coding RNA from Falco peregrinus (peregrine falcon), 9946 nucleotides. RefSeq lists it as uncharacterized. The record is from RefSeq and is a predicted model, not a curated record. The transcript is spliced from 2 exons. NCBI's taxonomy places the organism in Eukaryota, Metazoa, Chordata, Aves, Falconiformes, Falconidae.